RNAcentral lists this ribosomal RNA (455 nucleotides) under Veillonella parvula. Its description in RNAcentral is "bacterial SSU rRNA". It matches the Rfam family "Bacterial small subunit ribosomal RNA", at positions 28 to 460 of the family's 1533-position model. Lineage: Bacteria; Bacillati; Bacillota; Negativicutes; Veillonellales; Veillonellaceae. The record is from RNAcentral.
GACGAACGCUGGCGGCGUGCUUAACACAUGCAAGUCGAACGAAGAGCGAUGGAAGCUUGCUUCUAUCAAUCUUAGUGGCGAACGGGUGAGUAACGCGUAAUCAACCUGCCCUUCAGAGGGGGACAACAGUUGGAAACGACUGCUAAUACCGCAUACGAUCUAAUCUUGGCAUCGAGGAUAGAUGAAAGGUGGCCUCUACAUGUAAGCUAUCACUGAAGGAGGGGAUUGCGUCUGAUUAGCUAGUUGGAGGGGUAACGGCCCACCAAGGCGAUGAUCAGUAGCCGGUCUGAGAGGAUGAACGGCCACAUUGGGACUGAGACACGGCCCAGACUCCUACGGGAGGCAGCAGUGGGGAAUCUUCCGCAAUGGACGAAAGUCUGACGGAGCAACGCCGCGUGAGUGAUGACGGCCUUCGGGUUGUAAAGCUCUGUUAAUCGGGACGAAAGGCCUUCUUG